GAUGAACGCUGGCGGCGUGCCUAAUACAUGCAAGUCGAGCGAACGGACGAGAAGCUUGCUUCUCUGAUGUUAGCGGCGGACGGGUGAGUGACACGUGGAUAACCUACCUAUAAGACUGGGAUAACUUCGGGAAACCGGAGCUAAUACCGGAUGAUAUUUUGAACCGCAUGGUUCAAAAGUGAAAGACGGUCUUGCUGUCACUUAUAGAUGGAUCCGCGCUGCAUUAGCUAGUUGGUAAGGUAACGGCUUACCAAGGCAACGAUGCAUAGCCGACCUGAGAGGGUGAUCGGCCACACUGGAACUGAGACACGGUCCAGACUCCUACGGGAGGCAGCAGUAGGGAAUCUUCCGCAAUGGGCGAAAGCCUGACGGAGCAACGCCGCGUGAGUGAUGAAGGUCUUCGGAUCGUAAAACUCUGUUAUUAGGGAAGAACAUAUGUGUAAGUAACUGUGCACAUCUUGACGGUACCUAAUCAGAAAGCCACGGCUAACUACGUGCCAGCAGCCGCGGUAAUACGUAGGUGGCAAGCGUUAUCCGAAUUAUUGGGCGUAAAGCGCGCGUAGCGGUUUUUUAAGUCUGAUGUGAAAGCCCACGGCUCAACCGUGGAGGGUCAUUGGAAACUGGAAAACUUGAGUGCAGAAGAGGAAAGUGGAAUUCCAUGUGUAGCGGUGAAAUGCGCAGAGAUAUGGAGGAACACCAGUGGCGAAGGCGACUUUCUGGUCUGUAACUGACGCUGAUGUGCGAAAGCGUGGGGAUCAAACAGGAUUAGAUACCCUGGUAGUCCACGCCGUAAACGAUGAGUGCUAAGUGUUAGGGGGUUUCCGCCCCUUAGUGCUGCAGCUAACGCAUUAAGCACUCCGCCUGGGGAGUACGACCGCAAGGUUGAAACUCAAAGGAAUUGACGGGGACCCGCACAAGCGGUGGAGCAUGUGGUUUAAUUCGAAGCAACGCGAAGAACCUUACCAAAUCUUGACAUCCUUUGACAACUCUAGAGAUAGAGCCUUCCCCUUCGGGGGACAAAGUGACAGGUGGUGCAUGGUUGUCGUCAGCUCGUGUCGUGAGAUGUUGGGUUAAGUCCCGCAACGAGCGCAACCCUUAAGCUUAGUUGCCAUCAUUAAGUUGGGCACUCUAAGUUGACUGCCGGUGACAAACCGGAGGAAGGUGGGGAUGACGUCAAAUCAUCAUGCCCCUUAUGAUUUGGGCUACACACGUGCUACAAUGGACAAUACAAAGGGCAGCGAAACCGCGAGGUCAAGCAAAUCCCAUAAAGUUGUUCUCAGUUCGGAUUGUAGUCUGCAACUCGACUACAUGAAGCUGGAAUCGCUAGUAAUCGUAGAUCAGCAUGCUACGGUGAAUACGUUCCCGGGUCU
Molecule: ribosomal RNA, 1370 nt
Filed under: uncultured bacterium
Lineage: Bacteria
Description: bacterial SSU rRNA
Rfam family: Bacterial small subunit ribosomal RNA
Source: RNAcentral